Molecule: ribosomal RNA, 763 nt
Filed under: uncultured bacterium
Lineage: Bacteria
Description: bacterial SSU rRNA
Rfam family: Bacterial small subunit ribosomal RNA
Source: RNAcentral
GUAAUGGCCUACCAAGACUUUGAUCAAUAGCUGAUCUGAGAGGAUGAUCAGCCACAUUGGGACUGAGACACGGCCCAAACUCCUACGGGAGGCAGCAGUAGGGAAUAUUGCACAAUGGAGGAAACUCUGAUGCAGCGAUGCCGCGUGAGUGAAGAAGGCCUUUGGGUUGUAAAGCUCUUUCGUCGGGGAAGAAAAUGACGGUACCCGAAUAAGAAGGUCCGGCUAACUUCGUGCCAGCAGCCGCGGUAAUACGAAGGGACCUAGCGUAGUUCGGAAUUACUGGGCUUAAAGAGUUCGUAGGUGGUUAAAAAAGUUGGUUGUGAAAUCCCGAAGCUUAACUUCGGAACUGCAAUCAAAACUUUUUAGCUAGAGUAUGAUAGAGGAAAGCAGAAUUUCUAGUGUAGAGGUGAAGUUCGUAGAUAUUAGAAAGAAUACCAAUUGCGAAGGCAGCUUUCUGGAUCAUUACUGACGCUGAGGAACGAAAGCAUGGGUAGCGAAGAGGAUUAGAUACCCUCGUAGUCCAUGCCGUAAACGAUGUGUGUUAGACGUUGGAAAUUUAUUUUCAGUGUCGCAGCGAAAGCAGUAAACACACCGCCUGGGGAGUACGACCGCAAGGUUAAAACUCAAAUGAAUUGACGGGGACCCGCACAAGUAGUGGAGCAUGUGGUUUAAUUCGAAGAUACGCGCAGAACCUUACCAACACUUGACAUGUUCGUCGCGGCUCUAGAGAUAGAGCUUUCGGUUCGGCCGGACGAAACACAGG